RNAcentral lists this transfer RNA (73 nucleotides) under Ailuropoda melanoleuca (giant panda). It matches the Rfam family "tRNA". From Rfam's summary of the family: Transfer RNA (tRNA) molecules are approximately 80 nucleotides in length. Their secondary structure includes four short double-helical elements and three loops (D, anti-codon, and T loops). Further hydrogen bonds mediate the characteristic L-shaped molecular structure. tRNAs have two regions of fundamental functional importance: the anti-codon, which is responsible for specific mRNA codon recognition, and the 3' end, to which the tRNAs corresponding amino acid is attached (by aminoacyl-tRNA synthetases). tRNAs cope with the degeneracy of the genetic code in two manners: having more than one tRNA (with a specific anti-codon) for a particular amino acid; and 'wobble' base-pairing, i.e. permitting non-standard base-pairing at the 3rd anti-codon position. The record is from Rfam by way of RNAcentral. Lineage: Eukaryota; Metazoa; Chordata; Mammalia; Carnivora; Ursidae.
GCCCGGCUGGCUCAGUCGGUAGAGCCUGUGACUCUUGAUCUCGGGGUUGUGGGUUCAAGACCCGCAUUGGGUG